This 301-nucleotide ribosomal RNA is filed under the name uncultured bacterium. RNAcentral's name for it is "partial 16S ribosomal RNA". It matches the Rfam family "Bacterial small subunit ribosomal RNA", at positions 509 to 807 of the family's 1533-position model. The record is from RNAcentral.
CAGUCGCCGCGGUAAGACAGAGGAUGCAAGCGUUAUCCGGAAUGAUUGGGCGUAAAGCGUCUGUAGGUGGCUUUUCAAGUCCGCCGUCAAAUCCCAGGGCUCAACCCUGGACAGGCGGUGGAAACUACCAAGCUGGAGUACGGUAGGGGCAGAGGGAAUCUCCGGUGGAGCGGUGAAAUGCGUUGAGAUCGGAAAGAACACCAACGGCGAAAACACUCUGCUGGGCCGACACUGACACUGAGAGACGAAAGCUAGGGGAGCAAAUGGGAUUAGAUACCCGGGUAGUCCCUGUCUCUUAUAC